UGUAUGAAAGGGGUCACCAAUACGAAAGUUUGAGAACCACUGAUCUAAUCUGUAGGUUUCUUAAAUUGAGGAUGCAAAGUUAAAUUCAAGUCAGUUGAAUAGGGGUUCUCCCCACUCUGAUUCAACAGGCAAAGAUUUUAAUGGGGUUGGAUGUUAGCAAAAGUGCAUUAACUACAGAAUAACUUUUUAUAGAAGUUCUAAGUUGCAUUCUGUGAUGCACAGCUUUGUAAAGAAAUUUGAAUUAGUGUAAAGAUAUUCAUAUUAGCUUUAAGUAUUCUUCUACUAACUCUGAUAAAUGCCUUUUCAGGUAAUUUAACCAGCUUGCACAUUUCAAUGAAAGGGAGAAGGAGGCAGCACAGUACAACUUCACAUUAACUGUUUUCCCAAGUUCAAUAUCCUUACCCGGAGAGAAGUGUGGGUCACAUUUAUUAAUUAAAAAAUCAGGGUUUAAUUUAAAACUAGGCUGUACAAAGCACUGAAUAAAACAGAAGUCGUCUUAGGGGAGAGCAGAUCCUCAAUGUUUUGUCCUAAGCUCAAGCUUUUGACAUGUAUUUAUGAUGAAAAAUAAAAACACUGGUGUAUGAUAUAAAGGCUAUAUUCAACUCACAUCUACAACUACACAGUGAAAGCUUCCUCAGACAGGUACGUACCAUAGCCCUUCACUUCACUCAUACAUAAGAUGAAAGUUCAUGUGUGCCUAUAUGGUCUAUUGUCGGUGGCCAAGACCUCAUUAAGGUAUAAGCAGAUUGUUGCAGCAGGACCAAAAAAAAAAAAAAAGCCACCACACAACUCACCAC
Chelonoidis abingdonii (Abingdon island giant tortoise) is the source of this 797-nucleotide non-coding RNA. NCBI's taxonomy places the organism in Eukaryota, Metazoa, Chordata, Testudines, Testudinidae. The record is from RefSeq and is a predicted model, not a curated record.